CCCAGCGAGAUUUAAGAUUGGAGAGUUGAUGUUAUUUGAUGCACUGAACAAUUCAAGUCUUGAAUAUUUGCAUAUAAUCUCUUUUUUUUUUUUUUACUUCCAGCAUCCUUCACACUGCACAGGCUCAUAGAGGAGUUUACCUUCAAACACACUUUUAUAAUCAAACAGCGGCCCUCCCUGUCAGCAAACACGGUCUGGAGAACGUGUGUCAGAGUCCCACAAUGGAACAAUCGCAGAAACGUGCAACUGAAAUAACAUUUGUGUGAAGAGUGAAGUGAAUCAUCAAAACCUUUAAAGCAACAAAUAAUAAUAUAGCUCCAGAUCUCUAGAUUCCUUGGUAUUUGUCACUGUCUCACACAGUUAAAGCACACACACACACACACACACACACACACACACACACACACACACACACACACACACACACACAAAAGCACACAUGCACAUAACAAACAACA
Molecule: long non-coding RNA, 458 nt
Organism: Labrus mixtus (cuckoo wrasse)
Lineage: Eukaryota; Metazoa; Chordata; Actinopteri; Labriformes; Labridae
Exons: 2
Source: RefSeq, a predicted model, not a curated record